Danio rerio (zebrafish) is the source of this 175-nucleotide non-coding RNA. NCBI's taxonomy places the organism in Eukaryota, Metazoa, Chordata, Actinopteri, Cypriniformes, Danionidae. The record is from RefSeq and is a predicted model, not a curated record.
UGUGGCUUCUCUCUUUUCAGUACACCCUCUCAAUGGUGUGUGGCAUUGGGUUUCAAUUCCAGGAGAUGGAUAUACCUAUCAUCCGUCAGUGGUGGUGCCUUCUACUCAUGGAACAAUUUCAAACUGAUGGUAUGUCACCGACUCGGUCCCAGUAACUCCCCUCGCUGGCCAGCAG